UGCUGCCCUCCCGGUUCCCGCAUCCUUCUCGUCCAGCGGUCCGCGCCCGGAGCAGAGCCACAAGGGCAGAGGAGUCGGCGGCUUUAGGGAAGGCGCGGCGCAGCGCUGCGGCGCCCAGCCCACGGCUCAAGCCACCUGAGCCCGAGAGUGGCCAGUAGUCAGACAGCCUGCAGGAUCAGCUCGGCCUCCGCCAGCAGCAACACAGGGCCUUUGAGGAAGAGAGAGAGUGAGGGGCAGACAGACCAGGCUGUUGGGCCGAGUUUGAGCAAGAAGCCUCUUCCUUCUCCAAGGUUUCCCAAAGGAGAGCAGAAAUAGGUCAAGGGCAGCCCAAGCAGCCACUUUCACUCUCCGCCC
RNAcentral lists this long non-coding RNA (354 nucleotides) under Phascolarctos cinereus (koala). Its description in RNAcentral is "lncRNA (ENSPCIG00000030689.1)". The record is from RNAcentral. Lineage: Eukaryota; Metazoa; Chordata; Mammalia; Diprotodontia; Phascolarctidae.